This 253-nucleotide ribosomal RNA is filed under the name uncultured bacterium. Its description in RNAcentral is "partial 16S ribosomal RNA". It matches the Rfam family "Bacterial small subunit ribosomal RNA", at positions 524 to 776 of the family's 1533-position model. The record is from RNAcentral.
GACAGAGGGUGCAAACGUUGUUCGGAAUUACUGGGCGUAAAGCGUGUGUAGGCGGCUACAUAAGUCGGAUGUGAAAGCCCCGGGCUCAACCCGGGAAGUGCACUCGAUACUGCGUAGCUUGAGUCUCGGAGAGGUUGGUGGAAUUCUCGGUGUAGAGGUGAAAUGCGUAGAUAUCGUAAGGAAGACCAGUGGCGAAGGCGGGUCUCUGGACAGUUCCUGACGCUGAGGCACGAAGGUCAGGGGAGCAAACGGG